Molecule: ribosomal RNA, 600 nt
Filed under: Streptomyces hyderabadensis
Lineage: Bacteria; Bacillati; Actinomycetota; Actinomycetes; Kitasatosporales; Streptomycetaceae
Description: bacterial SSU rRNA
Rfam family: Bacterial small subunit ribosomal RNA
Source: RNAcentral
CUUCGGUGGGGAUUAGUGGCGAACGGGUGAGUAACACGUGGGCAAUCUGCCCUGCACUCUGGGACAAGCCCUGGAAACGGGGUCUAAUACCGGAUAUGACCCUCGCAGGCAUCUGUGAGGGUGUAAAGCUCCGGCGGUGCAGGAUGAGCCCGCGGCCUAUCAGCUUGUUGGUGAGGUAACGGCUCACCAAGGCGACGACGGGUAGCCGGCCUGAGAGGGCGACCGGCCACACUGGGACUGAGACACGGCCCAGACUCCUACGGGAGGCAGCAGUGGGGAAUAUUGCACAAUGGGCGAAAGCCUGAUGCAGCGACGCCGCGUGAGGGAUGACGGCCUUCGGGUUGUAAACCUCUUUCAGCAGGGAAGAAGCGAAAGUGACGGUACCUGCAGAAGAAGCGCCGGCUAACUACGUGCCAGCAGCCGCGGUAAUACGUAGGGCGCAAGCGUUGUCCGGAAUUAUUGGGCGUAAAGAGCUCGUAGGCGGCUUGUCGCGUCGGUUGUGAAAGCCCGGGGCUUAACCCCGGGUCUGCAGUCGAUACGGGCAGGCUAGAGUUCGGUAGGGGAGAUCGGAAUUCCUGGUGUAGCGGUGAAAUGCGCAGA